RNAcentral lists this non-coding RNA (30 nucleotides) under Rattus norvegicus (Norway rat). Lineage: Eukaryota; Metazoa; Chordata; Mammalia; Rodentia; Muridae. The record is from RNAcentral.
UAAGGAAGCAACUUAUCACAAGUGCAGAAG